GAGGGUGUAAGAAAAUAUGCUGUACAAUGGUGGUGAAGGCUCCUAACUGAAGUAAGUAUCCAGUCUAAUCCCAACCCAUUAGUAUUUUUCUUACACCCUCUUCAAUCUUGUUCCUGGGCACGGUAACUCCACCCCCUUCAUCAAGUAGUAUUCUAUACACUUCCCACUCUCGGUCAUGAAUCAUAUGCCUUCCAAUCUCCACUGAGAAGAUGCCAGUGCUUNNNNNNNNNNNUAAUAUCAUAAAACACGAGAGGCCUGCCCCUCCCAGACAACUCAACAGGGUUGGCAACAAGCAGCUCUGUAUCAGGACCCCGNCAACGGCAACUCUAAGGGGGCGCAGAAGCUCCAUUCUCAAACGAGAGCAUAAUGCAUCUUGUUUAUUGGGGUCAAUUAUCUUCUUGCCAUCCGCUUGCAU
RNAcentral lists this unclassified non-coding RNA (415 nucleotides) under Hevea brasiliensis (rubber tree). Lineage: Eukaryota; Viridiplantae; Streptophyta; Magnoliopsida; Malpighiales; Euphorbiaceae. The record is from RNAcentral.